Cordylochernes scorpioides is the source of this 75-nucleotide non-coding RNA. The record is from the annotation of a GenBank genome assembly. NCBI's taxonomy places the organism in Eukaryota, Metazoa, Arthropoda, Arachnida, Pseudoscorpiones, Chernetidae.
GUCCAGGGUUGCCAGGUGGUCAUGGCAUCUGCCCGGUAAGCGGAAGGUCGUGGGUUCGAUUCCCAUCCCUUGACA